This is a long non-coding RNA of Brassica napus (rape), 2753 nucleotides long. RefSeq lists it as uncharacterized. The record is from RefSeq and is a predicted model, not a curated record. NCBI's taxonomy places the organism in Eukaryota, Viridiplantae, Streptophyta, Magnoliopsida, Brassicales, Brassicaceae. The transcript is spliced from 2 exons.
CUUUCACAACUAUUUUUGCUUGGAGUGUAUGAUGGUUACAAAAGCCGUUGUCCGUAUUUCUUAGACAAUGUUCAUGGUAUUGAACCAUCAGAAGUUCACUUCCACAUCCAGUCAUAUCGACCAAACCCAGAUAUCAAAUCAAGAAAAGGAAAUUGAUGCUUGGUUAAUGAACACAUAGCUCAAAGACCAGCUGCUCAGUGACUUCUACUCCUGCUUGGCAGUGAUUGUCUGCAUGACCAUUUGUACGCAUCUCACCUUCUUCUCCUCCAUGAUCUAGUUCAAGAUCUAUGUGAUUUUCGCAUGUGCUUACUUGACCUCUGCUAGUCUUCGUUCUGUUCCACUCGUGGAGACUGUUAAAAAAAGCUUUCAGAUUAGUAACACAUAUUUGACUUCUACAUAACUCACCGAGCCACUACAGUUUUGCCAAAUUUGCUAAUGCGUCCAAGAUAUAUCAAAAUUAAAGAAGUUGCAUACUGUAUUUUACUUGGUUGCACAGGAAAUAAAUUAAAUUUUAACUGCCAAUCAAGUUUGAGGGCCCUAAAGAACUCCCGUGACAAAAUAGCACAAUGGAAGAAAAGUAAUGCCAAUGUCUCACGGGUGUUGUUACUUUAUAUUAUACUAAAGUAUCAUAAGACAACAAAAUAAUAUAGAUUAUUAGACUAUAGACCAUCUUCGAUAUUUUUCUGCACAUGCUUUUCAAUGAAUAUGCAUACUCAAUAAUAUGCACAGGAGACUAGUUUUGAGGUUAAUCACAAGAUUAUUGUCUUAUAUGAUGCUAGGGACCCAUGUUUUCAUGUUAAUAUCAUAAUUUUGUAAAUCUUAUCUCACCAGUAACGUAUCUAUUUUCUCUAUAUAAACCCUACGAAAGCAGGUAUACCAGCCUAAGAAAACCAUCAAAUAGUUGCAAAACAAUUGGUGAAGAACUCUUUAAAAGUACAAAAAGCCAUGGAACCAAACACUAAGCUUGUCUUUAUUACCUUGGUUCUUGCCUUGACACUCACGGCAGCGACUGGAGAGUUCUGCGGUAAGAGCGUUGCUGAUCUGUACUCUUGCAAGCCCUAUGUGCAGACCAAGAACCCAUUGACCACCCGCAUUGAUCCCAAGGGCUCUUGCUGCAGUGCCCUAGCUAACGCUGACGUCCAGUGUCUCUGCAAGCAGAAAACCAAAACAAAUCCCUUUCUUAGUGGGAUCAACUUAGACCUUGCUUCUAAACUCCCGGAUAAGUGUGGUUUAUCUAAGGCAACUUGCUAAGACAGGCACGAUGAGAGAAUGAAUAAAAACCAGAGAUUCCAUAGAAGCCGUGACCAAGAAUCUCCUUCACUGGUUCCAUUGAAGCUUGUAAAGAACAUGCACCAAGGAUGCUAACCAUGACCAAAGAAUCAGGAAUUUUGGUCUCCUUGGCUAUAAACUCACGUGCAAGUUCAAUAAAACACUAAAGCCUAUUGAAAUAUCAAUUAAUCUUACAAAUCCAUCAGUAACUGUGCUUUAAAAAAACGUUUGUGUAUAUUCUCAUAUUACUUGUUCAAGUGAAACAUAUUCUGGUAAGCAGUCUACAAUAGUCCUGAAACCUAUCGGUAACAGUUUGUAGACAAUAUGGAUCAUCAAAUUAUAAAUGAUAUGUAGCCACUUAGAUUACAGUUGUUCACAAUGAUGAGCAUCGAGCAAACAUGCAUACACAUGAUUACCUGAUUGGGGUCAUGUCGAAUCUCGCCAGAAAAGGUAUAUAUAAUAACCUUAAACGUGUUUUUCUACACAUAUAUUAAACAAAACCACAACUAACUUUAACCAGUCCACGAAUCUAGCCAUAUCUAGUUUAGUAACUUUCCACGUACAUCACAUUGCAAAUGCCUGCUUAUGUAAUGAUAAUGUUGAUUUGGACAAAAGGAACUUCGCGUAUAUAACUUUUAAAGAAAAAUAGUUUCUCGUUGCAUUUAUCUUCAUUAUUUAUAAUUUAUAUGUAAAAUCAGUAUCGAUUUUCUUUUAAACAAGAGAAGUGUUUAGGCUGAAGCUCGACUAGUCAUGCAAAUAUGGUUAUUUUAUGUAGGAGUUAGAGAUCUACGUCAACUAACCAUCACUAGAAGAAAUGUGGUUAGUAAUAGCGGACGAAAAGCGCUAUCAUUUUGGUUUAAUAGCGUUUCCUUGGACGCUCAGACAUCACCCGUUAUAAAAAGUCUAACCCUUUUAAUAGCGAUUUUCCUUUGUGCUAUUACUAAGUGUAUAACAAUAGCGCUUUUGUGUUCACAAUUGUUAGUAUUUAUAAUAACGUUUAAUAAAUGUUAUUAGAACCAAAUAAUUUGAUUUUUUCUAGUAGCAAAGAUAGCAAAUGUUUCGUGUUAUUAAUUAGUUUUAUAAUUAUCCCAAAAUUAAUUAAUAAUAAUUAUUGAAUUGAUUUUUAAAUAAUUAAUUUGAAAAUAUGAAAUAAAAACAAUAUAAAUUAUUAAAAUUCCAAAAAUCAAUAUAAUUAUUCAAAUCCCAUAACACAACAUUAUCACAUUCAUACAAACCAUCACACAAGCAUACAACAUAUCAUCAAUCUACCACUAAUAAACCUUCACAAUCAUCCCUAACAUAUACACUAUCAUCAUCCAUAUCAUCACCCAUAUCAUCAACUUCUUGGACAGGUAAAGGAGCACCACCUAAAUCCUCUUUUGUUUCCAACUCAUGAUAACCAGAUUUCGAUCUCUACCUGUCGACAAAAAAAAAAAACUAAGCCUCUGCCUACAACCCUAAUUCCUCCGCCUCUAGCCUCCAGC